AGAGUUUGAUCCUGGCUCAGGAUGAACGCUAGCGGCAGGCCUAAUACAUGCAAGUCGAACGGGAUUGGGGAGCUUGCUCCCCAUGAGAGUGGCGAACGGGUGCGUAACACGUAUGUAACCUACCUUUAUCUGGGGGAUAGCCUCUCGAAAGAGAGAUUAACACCGCAUAACAUUGCUGACCGGCAUCGGCUGGCAAUCAA
This 200-nucleotide ribosomal RNA is filed under the name uncultured bacterium. RNAcentral describes it as "partial 16S ribosomal RNA". It matches the Rfam family "Bacterial small subunit ribosomal RNA", at positions 8 to 204 of the family's 1533-position model. The record is from RNAcentral.